UGAAUGAAUGGAGUGUACUUGAAUUGAAGAAGCUAGGACUCCUCCUAUUCCUAUUUCUUAUACUUGUAAUUCUAAACACAGAGAGAGUUUGCAGUCUUCUAGGCUAGGCUAGGCUAGUGGAUCCAAUAUCCAUGUUCCCCAGUCUUCUCCUUUCCGCCUUAUUCAGCCAGCCGAUGACAGUGAGGGAAGGAAGCAACGCUGUUUGUUUCCACCAUCGAUCAUGCGACAGAGAAUCGAGUAAGUUUCGUUAUUAUUCUGUGAGCUUGAAUGGAGAUUCUUAGUUUUCGCGCCAAUACUGAGUCAGAUACUUUUAUUGGACGAGGACGACAAAACUGUGGCAGGGAACAACAAUCAAUUUUAAACCUGUGCUUCAUCAGAUGGAGACAGUGACCGUAAAAGUUCCGACUCUGCAUUCAUGGAAUAAAUCCAGAUAGAUGAUUAGCAAGUUUGGAUAUGGAUUUGGUGUUUUCUGGUGGUAUAUUGAGACCACAAGGCCUUUCUGAAUUUGGACAUAAAGGAUUAAGUGGGGGGAGUGGAUGCCUUACCUGUCUGAAUUUAAUGUUUUCUGGAUAUAUAUGGUAAAUGAGCAAACCAGCAAGGUACGUACAUAAAGGAAAUGAAGGAGGGGGGACAUGAUAUUCCCACAUUGCUAGAUUAGAAAGAGAUGAAUGUAAUCCACUUUUGGGAGAAGAUGCUGCAAAAGAUUAUAUUGCUGCUACUCUUAAAGGCUAAUGUUAACAAUGCUUCAAGCUGGACUCUUUUCAAAUGGAAGGAAUUCCAAAUUUGUUUGUUAUGAAAGCUGGACUCUUUUCAAUAAAGCUGGAUACUUCAAUGAUCUUCUGCUAUGAAAGUUUAGUUGCAAAUGCUGCUGGAAUUGCUUCAUUUGUUUGUUGCACUUAACAAAUGAGGAGAUAUUACGAGUUACGUUAACUGUUGGACUUAACAAAGGACCACUUCAGAAGGGUUUGGUUUUAUUCAAUACGACACUCUUGAGGAUUCUGCAGCAGGGAUACAGGGCAUGAUUGGAAAGUUCUUGGAGGGAUGGGUUGGCUAUCUUUGCUGAAUAUGCCAGACCAAUGACUCCACUGCCUUCGGUCGGGAACAACAUUGCUGGGAUGCGGCAUAAUGUUGACGAAUUUGGUAUAUAUUGAGCCUCGAAGACAAUAGAUGCUCGACAUAAAUGACAAUAAAGGAAUGAUACAAAAUCCCACAUUGAUAUAUUGAUUGGAAAGGUAAUGUCAUGAAUAUAACUGACUAAAAUUAACAUUAUAAUCGCUGGGCUCAUUAGCAUUUAACCCAAGCGAGGGCAUCAUAUCUAAAGUUGUCUGACGAGAGAAUUUCAGUUGAAUUUGAGGCAAAUGCCAAAUAAUAGAUAGUCGAAUUCUGGUGCUUUCUUUUCAUAAGAACCAAAAGGUAUGAAUGGACAAAGAACUGAAGUAACAAAGC
This is a long non-coding RNA of Impatiens glandulifera, 1446 nucleotides long. RefSeq lists it as uncharacterized. Lineage: Eukaryota; Viridiplantae; Streptophyta; Magnoliopsida; Ericales; Balsaminaceae. The record is from RefSeq and is a predicted model, not a curated record. The transcript has 7 exons.